Myxocyprinus asiaticus (Chinese sucker) is the source of this 6819-nucleotide RNA transcript. It is a transcript of the gene named sorting nexin-29-like, with no coding region annotated. Lineage: Eukaryota; Metazoa; Chordata; Actinopteri; Cypriniformes; Catostomidae. The record is from RefSeq and is a predicted model, not a curated record. The transcript has 22 exons.
AUUUAUUUUAUCAUGUCUACUUUUUGUUUUGAUUACCCCACGUGACACAGUUACUAUCACGUGACACCCGGGAAAGUCAUGUGACUAACGAGGGCUUUGCAGUGACAUUAGCAAUCUGUCGUUAGUACGUUAAUACAAUGUAGAAGUCGUAAGAAACAGUUCACACAUGCUGGACAGUGAGUCCUUACUAUUAUUUAAUUAAACAGCGAAUUCACAGUUGUAAUGCCUUUCUUUUCUUUAUAAAAGUGCUCGCUAGGCAUCGGUUGUACUGUAAUGUUUAACUGCUCUGUCUCAGCAAAUCAAAACUAUGGAGAACCUUUCAAAAUGUAAACAAUCUUGUUUAAACAUCUCCUGGAAUUAACUUGAAACUUUCUGGGGACAGACACAACUGCAAUUCAUGCCGAAUGCUAAAUUGCCCUACUCUGUUUUGUCUGGAUUUUCAGAAUGAACGGCACGCAGCAAAAUGACCUGAAAAGACAAAACCUGUUAGAGAGACUUCUUGAUGCGGUUAAACAGUGCCAAAUCCGCUUUGGUGGCAGGAAGGAGAUUGCCUCAGAUUCUGAUAGCAGAGUCAUAUGCCUGUGUGCCCAGUUUGAAGCGGUUCUUCAACACGGCUUGAGGAAAAGUCGUGGACUAGCCCACACAGCAGCUGCUAUAAAACAAGCUGCUGGACUUAGCAGUAAAACUGAAGCAGAGCUGACGUUCUGGUUUUAUGUGAAGGAGCACCUCAACCGUCAUGAGUUGCAGCGCUUCUACUCUCUAUGGAAUAUCACAUCUGAGCUGGGCCGGGGCCGAGCAUGGCUUCGCUGUGCCCUGAAUGAGCACUCUCUAGAGCGUUAUCUUCACAUGCUGCUGGCUGACCGUGCCCGCCUUAGUUCCUACUAUGAAGAUUGGGCUUUUGUCCUUGAUGAGGAGAGAGCAAGUAUGCUGCCUACAAUGGCUGCAGGGCUCAAUUCCAUCCUGUUUGCCAUCAACAUUGACAACACGGACCUAAACGGGCAGACCCGCAGCGUGUCGUCUGUGUCCCACCUGCUUAAGGAGUCCACACAGGGCAUGAGCAGUCUGUGGAAGGAGUCUGCUCAGGGUGUCAGCACGCUCCUGCGGGAAAUUGGCACUGCUACUGCUGUGGUUCCUGGUUUCAUCCCACGCUCAGACUCCCUUUCAGACCCACUGCCUGUCCUGCCCCGAAGCACUUCUGCAGAUUCUGGUUUGAGGAAGGAGCGCAGACGUAAAAAGAAGAUAACAAACAUCAUCUCCUUUGACGAUGACUUGGACGUGGGUGCGGAAGAUGAGGACGAGGCAGGUGAGGAAGUUGUUAGGAGUCUCAGGAAAAGUGCGGUGGGCCAUGUGAGUUCUGAAGAGGCUCUGGACCCUCCAGACUCCAUCUUUCCCACUCAGAAUGGACUAAUAGAGCCAGGGAUUGUGAGCUGGGGCGAAACGCCCCCACAGAACGGAGUCCUGUCUGAUAACAAGAGCAUUGGUAAUGAAGAGGAGGAAGAGGAUGAUAUUUAUGGAAACAGCAGGCCAGAGCCCCAAGAGGAUCAUGGGAUUGGAGAGCCGAUGGUUGUGGGGAGCUUGUCCAGUGUUUCCACUUGGAGCCCAAGGCAGAUCAUCUCUGACAACAACAAUGACAGCUCACAUAUUCUCAUACCACUGGCCUCUUCUGAGCCCUUCAACAAACAAGCUGGUAGUUUAGUUGAGAAUAUAGAAUUUAAUGGCCAGAAGGAGAGCUCAAGCCCGCCAACUGACCGUGAAAAAACAAGAAGCCAAUUACAGUUUAGCAUGGAGCCCAACUCACCACCACAGAUGGCUCCUGUGUCCAGUGUUCUGCCAACCCCUGGCCUUUCUGAGUCCAUGAGCAUUGCUGAACUACGGCAAGCCAUUGUGGCCAUGAUGAACAGGAAGGAUGAGGUCACGGAGCAGAACACGUCUCUGCGCAGUCUCCUGGACGGGGAGAUGGAGCACUCUGCUGGGCUCAGACAGGAGGUGGAGAGCUUGAAGAAGAAACUGGCUGAGCUAGAGGAGAGACAUGCAGCCAAAGUCCAGGCCCUCAUGAGAGAGAAUGAAGUUCUGAAGGUCCAGCUGAAGAAGUAUGUUGGUGCUGUCCAAAUGCUGAAACGAGAAGGCAGCCAAGGCAAUGAUGCUUUAACCAUUCAGAGGAAUUGUGAUGAUCCACCUCAAGCCCCCCAAAACAGAUCUGUGGCUGAUAUAGAGGAACUGGCUGCCAACUAUGAGCGUAAACUCAUCGAGGUGGCUGAGAUGCAUGGGGAGCUGAUAGAGUUUAACGAGAGGCUGUACCGCUCUCUCAUGGCCAAAGACAACCUGAUUGGACAGAUGAGACAGGAACUCAUUGACUUGCGUGGCCCAGUGCCAGGGGACCUGAGCCAGACCUCUGACGAUCCCAGCCUAUCUGAUUUUGAGACAACUCAACGUGCUCUUGUCAACGUGUGGAUCCCUUCUGUGUAUCUUCAAGGCCGGGCAGCCAACGCCUAUCACGUAUAUCAGGUGUACAUAAGAAUCCUAGACAAUGAGUGGAAUGUUUACCGGCGCUAUGCUGAGUUCAGGGCCCUGCACAAUUACCUGCGCUCGCAAUUCCCACAGGUCGACACCUUCAAUUUCCCGCCUAAAAAAGCCAUCGGCAACAAGGAUGCCAAGUUCGUGGAGGAGAGAAGGAAACAGCUGCAGUCUUACCUGCGCAUUGUGAUGAAUAAACUGAUCCAGACACUGCCUAAAUUCACUUCCCAGCCCACCAAGGAGACCUUACUGCAGUUACUGCCAUUCUGCAAGCACUCAAAGCACUUUACAUAGUAUAGGGGGAAUCUCCUCAACCACCACCAGUGUGGAGGAUCCACCUGGAUGAUGCGACGGCAGCCAUAGUGUGCCAGAAUGCCCACCACACACCAUCUAUUAUUAUUAUUAUUAUUAUUAUUAUUGUUAUUGCUAGCUGUCAAGUUCUGUUGCCAGUGUGAUUUAGUUUAUAAACAAAUUAUGAAUUAACCCUACAGGACCAGUCGCUUCCUGCAUUUUACUUGCUAAUUGUCGUUUCAGAAUGGCUCAUCAAUCUAUCAGCUCACACGCUGCAUCUGAUUGUUUUUGUUUUGUUUUUUGGUGAGUGCUGGGUCUGAUGCAAUUGUGUUAUUAAAAAGCCAAUUUUACCCUUAUUUCAAAUCUGAUUUAAAGAAAACCUUUGGGACAUUGUGAGAAGAUAAUGGCUCUUUGGUUGGCUAUGACUGGAGAGAAUUUGUGUGCUAUGGACAGAUGAGUCCAGCUGGUCUUUAGAUGCCGUGAGAGUUGGACGUGAUGAAUGAAUAGACAAGGAUGUUUGAGAGCAUUACAUUUUGUCACAAAAGCUUUCCAAAUGGGAAAUGACUCACAAAGUACUUUGAGUCCAUUCUCUAUGUGCAAUGAAUUACUUUUGUUGUGUAUUUACAAUGCACCAUUUAUGUGCUAUCUAGGAACCGUGUUACUUCUUGAUAAAUUUAUUUUUGUCUGUUGGAUCAUUUUGCCUCUAUGACUUAUAUGAUUAACAAUGGUUUCUAUUCUCUCUUGUGCUCUGGAAGCAUCUCUCAGACCUGGAGUAGCUGCUGAUUGCCAUUUAAAUACACUGGUGAUUACAUGCCCAUGCCAAUAAAGCCGCCUCCUGGCAAACAGACAGAGUGGAAAGCUGUCACACAGCAGUUAUAGUGAGUGUGCGCUGCCAACGAGGGAAUCCUUUAAUGUUAAAAACAUCCUUGUGUGCCAGUUCUUGGCACCUCCUCUCUGUCAUUGUCAGUUUUGAGUGGGGCCGACGAUGAUCUUUUAGAAGACGUUCUUGUGAGGAGGUUUUGUUGAACAAAAAGUGUUUUCAGACUUUGAGACUUUGCUUUAAAAUGGAAGACACUUGGGCCCGCCACAUCUUGACAGUGUAGGACUGCUUCAAAGAGCUUCCAGCAUAUGUCUGUUCCUCUGCUGGAAGACUAUUUAGUAUCCUGAUGCUCUCCCAAGCUACAGGGGCCACAUCCAGUAAUCCUCAAUUUGUUUUCAAUGUGCAGAGCCAUUUCGAAAUUUGCUUCAUAGAUAUUGCCUGCCUAAAACCACAAUGAGAAGCCUCUCCAACGGAGGACAGAUAGAUAAGGAUGUCUUGUUCCAGGGAUAAAUUAAAUGCUGAAUCUCUUCAUUUCUUAGAGGUUAUGUAACGUGAGGAGGCUCUUUCAGGCUACUGUUUAGACUGCAGAUCUGCCUUCUGCCUCUUGGACCAAUUGAAUAGUGUCUGUGUGAUUGUGUGUAUGUGCUUGUUUGUGAGGAGCUGAGUAUGGAUGGAUGGAUAGAUGGAUAGAUUUACUGGUGGGGGGCAUUGCAGCACCCCACUUACCUGCUUCUAACUUCUGUCCCGCUGCUCAAGAUUGAUUGAAAGCUGCUCAGCACUUCAUUCUUUCCAUUUUUCUUUGGCUCUCUCCCUCGCUCUUUCCUUCCGCCCAACCCUCUUCCCUUUUCUCGCUCUUCUUUUCUGUCUCAGCCCUGUGCCGAUCUGUCAGCACCAGUAAAGCAGAGGAGAAGCCGAUCAUGGGGUGUUAUGGGUUGCAUAACCACAUUGCUGACUUGCUGUUCAAAUUUCAUUUCCUUUGAAAACUCUCCACCAUUAUUAGCUGAAUGUAAUCAGUACAAGCUAGAUUAGCUUGCUAUCCACACCGGCUGCUCCAUAAAUGGCUGUGCCUUCAUGCGCUCUCAAAAGUGCUCUGUCACUCUUUGUUAUUUUGUUUUCUGUACUCUUUGAGGACAGAGAAGAAAACCCACCCAAGGUUUGUUCUUUGUUGUAUCACACAGCACUAUGCGAAUCACUCUGCAAAAUUCGAUUGGCACCCUUUCCAUCCUUCAAGGCAGAAACCCAACUAAGAUUAUGAUUUCUUUGCUUUGUCUUUUGGCUACAAACACACAAAAACAUUAUUGUCAGGUGGUCAGUGCAGUGGCAGAACCUGACACAGGGGAUAUAGGGAUUUCUCUGGAUUCCUUGGAUUUGUUAACGCCAUGACACCAAGUGCUUUACUUGCACUUUUAUGUAUUAUUAAAUUUAAUAAUGUUGUGUCCAAAAUCCUUAAACAAAAAACCAAAACUACCAGUUGUAAUCCUCCAAGAGAUUUCAAGCUACAUCCACCAAACUGUGCACAGACCUUCAGACUGUUCUGACUUGAGCCUGAUUUUUACAUGGAAUAAGCCGAAGUUCUUUCUAAUGGACGAACUAAAGCACCCUAGGCAAAUGAAGCCACUGUUUAUGCAAUGCGCAACGUCGUUUUAAAAUGAGUUUGUUUAGGGUGAUGUCACUGUGUUUAACGUACUGUUCCAGCCACAGGUAAAGCCAAUAAUGCAGGUUUUUCUCUCUGUGGACUGCCACAUUUGGCACUGUUGCUCCUUUGCUUUAUUAAACUUGUCACGGCCCCUUCCACUUUUAAAAACUCCAAUCUCUCUCUACUCAUUUGUCGUGGCCGUGCUGUCUUUGUGGAGUUUGUGUUGCAAAUCAUGUAAAAAACUAUACUUCUGCACAAUCUUUGAGAGACGGGCUUCAAAGUUAUCCAUUUUAACGACUGUAACCUUGCUAACAACAACUCAGCUGGCAUGCGUGAUUGUAAAUAAAAAACGUCACAUCCAAACCACACCCACAAUUAGUUUUAACCAAUCAUCAAUGCUCUUCGACCAGCCGAGUUCUCCUAGGUCAAGAAUUUCGAGAUGUGUGCAAACACGAGAAAUAUCAACAAACAAACACAUUGGCAGAACAAAAACGUCACUGCAUUUCUUCAUCAUCUGUAGGCGAACCAAGCAAAGCCUGUUCACACAGUAAGUAUAAAUUAGCCUUUAGUGUGCUGUUUUUUCUAACUGUUCAGACAAACUUCGCUUUAGCGGACAAUUGAAAAUCCCCAAAAUCCCAUAGACUUGCAUUAAUGGAAUGUUUAAACACAGGCCAAGACUAUCAUCUAAUGUUUGUGAUUUCAAACUCCAGCCAUCAAAACUCUCACACGUACAGCCAUUUGUCCGUCUAUCCAACAACACUACCAACUAGCGAGAAGACCAUAGUAACACUUAGCAAUAACACCUGUAUUCAACACCUGAAAGGCCUGUAUUCAAACUUUUUAAUCUAGUUCAGACUUUCAGACAAGACUUUGUCAAGCUAACAGUUUUGACAAACUUUACUUUCUUUAUCUAGUUGUGUAUUUAUAGUUCUGUUAAAUUAAGGGGGACCCCAAGUGAGCAAGGACUGCCACUGGGUCAAUGGCUCCCCCAAGGUCAUGAGUGGCAUAGUUAUCAGGAUAGCCAGCAUAUAAGCCAAGGCUGGAGUUUUCUUAUGAUGAGCCGCAGCUGUGUGUGUAUAGAGGCUGACCCUCAAAUGCAGCUGAUGUCUAUACAGCCCUCCCUCAGGACUCGCACACCGUCUCUGACAUAUACAGUCUCUGGGGCUUUCCGCUCUGCACUCAACAUGGUCAUAUUUGAGUUUGUUAGUCUUGAAUUAAAAGUGAUGUCAGUGUGUCUCUGUGCCGCCUGUGAGAAUGAAAGAAAAUAAUUUGUUGCAAUGAGCUUGUUUCAUUGUUUAUUUACUUACAGCAGGGACUCUGACAUGUAAGAGCAUUUAGUGAUUAUCAGUGCAAAAAGAACAUCUGUGAGCUGUUGUUUCCACUGCUUCGUUUAAGCAUGUCUGUGCCUGGUGGAAGCUGUUUUUCAAAGGGACACCCCAGCAUCCAGCGAGAGUGGAACCAAAACUGCCCGAUCUAAAGCCUCUAGCAGGUUCCCCAGGCCGGGUCACAGCUUGGGUCGGGAAGCCCGCAACCCUGAACCACAAAGUGGUGACCUUUA